UCUUUUUGAGGUCAAGUGACUCUGCAACUUGCCAAACAGGUUAGUCUUACUACUUUGCAAUAUUACGUCUUAAUUAAUGUUUGUGUUAUAGUCACAGUGUUUGAGAUUGUCCAUCUAUCGUAUUUUCAGGCAAAUGAAAGAGCCGAUGGAAGGAUUUUGUUGAUGAUUAAUUAUAGAAAAUCCGAGUGCUGAAUUGUUUGAAAGUUGGAUUAGUGUGAAAACAUUAGUCCCUUGUUGAAGGAUUAGUGUGAAAACAUGUUUUACAAGUGAAGGGUACGUCGUCGUUUUGCAGUUGAGGCUAGCUUAUGUUGCUUCUGAAUCGAGAGUUGCUUCCCCAGCUGCCGCAGGUGAGUCUCUAGCUGCUCUCUGCGUUGGAUUUUUUAAUUUAAGAAUUAUUGCUUCACAAAAUAUUCGAAUCAAAAUACUAUAAAAAAUAUUUAUUAAUUACAUUGCCUUUCCAAACUCGUAUUUAAUAUCGUGCUCGUAAAAUUUGGUUCCUCUUUUCCGCUCUGCAUAAGCAUUUGUGUAGAUGUUACUAACUCAUAUGAUGUGCUCUUGAUUUUAGAUCGAGUUGCUGAAAUCAAGAUUUGAUGUUAAUUUAAUUUGGUACAUUAAAAUUGUAUUUUAAGUCACAGGCUGUUCCCUCAAAGUUGAGAGUUUGCAUAUUUUUAUCAAGCAGUUUGAUCGAUUCUAAAUUAUUUAGAUUAUCACAAGGAUUUGCAUAGGUCUACCUAAUAUCUUUGCAAUAUCACAUUUUAAUGUUCCUAUUAUAGUCACAAUGUUUGAGAUUCCAUCUACCGAUUUUCAGGCAAAUGAGAGAGCCGAUCAAAGGAAUCAGACGUCGCAUUAUCCCAUAAUUUCGAUUGUUGUAUUGCCACAUUGUCG
Molecule: long non-coding RNA, 885 nt
Filed under: Salvia miltiorrhiza (redroot sage)
Lineage: Eukaryota; Viridiplantae; Streptophyta; Magnoliopsida; Lamiales; Lamiaceae
Description: long non-coding RNA (SMIL_LNC002366)
Source: RNAcentral